Molecule: long non-coding RNA, 1321 nt
Organism: Gadus chalcogrammus (walleye pollock)
Lineage: Eukaryota; Metazoa; Chordata; Actinopteri; Gadiformes; Gadidae
Exons: 4
Source: RefSeq, a predicted model, not a curated record
CUGUUUGUUCCAGACCAGGACUCUGGCUGAGGAGAGCUGAUGGACGAGCCAAGACUCUGGGGGACGACAUCACUCUACCAUCCAGGAUCCUCGCAAGUUUGCAUUAUCUGGACAUAGUGGACUAGAAACACCUGAGCUGAUCCUCACCUGAUCCUGUUUGGUCGGGGGCAGACACACCUGAGCUGAACCCCAACUGAACCUGACAUCCUGCUGGUCCCAUCUCCUCAGUUCAUCUUAGCCUCUUCUUCCAGAAGACCUGCUGAGCUCAGCAGUCUGAGGCUGAUGUAUCAAUGACCUCCAGUGGGAGUGAUCUUCUUGACCCCACAUGUAACCGUGUGCUUCCACACGCCUUUCCCUCUCGUCUGUCACUAACCUCACUACUUCACUACUCUCUACUGCUUCUUCUUCUUCCUUCUCUGUGGUUCGAACCUUUACAUUGAAGGCGCGUCUCCAUGCCCUCAGAGGGUUCAGCGUUAGGGUUGAGAGUCAGGGUUUAGAGUCAGGGACAGAGCUGGUCAGGGAGGACUGCUUUAACACAAACCUCUUCACUUGCUUUCACGUGCUGUUUGUUCCAGACCAGGACUCUGGCUGAGGAGAGCUGAUGGACGAGCCAAGACUCUGGAGGACGACAUCACUCAACCAACCAGGAUCCUCGAAUCUAGACUGAUGGAGAAGCCGUACAUCUGGAAGGCAAAUCCUGAGGACCACCAGGACUCUACCAUCAAGGAUUCCUCAUAAGUUUCCAUUAUCUGGACAUAGUGGACAAGAAACACCUGAGCUGAUCCUCACCUGAUCCUGUUUGGUCGGGGGCAGACACACCUGAGCUGAACCCCAACUGAACCUGACAUCCUGCUGGUCCCAUCUCCUCAGUUCAUCUUAGCCUCUUCUUCCAGAAGACCUGCUGAGCUCAGCAGUCUGAGGCUGAUGGAUUAAUGACCUCCAGUGGGAGUGAUCUUCUUGACCCCACAUGUAACCGUGUGCUUCCACACGCCUUUCCAUCACGUCUGUCACUAACCUCACUACUUCACUACUCUCUACUGCUUCCUCUUCUUCUUCCUUCUCUGUGGUUCGAACCUUUACACGGAAGGCGCGUCUUCCUGCCCUCAGAGGGUUCAGCGUUAGGGUUGAGAGUCAGGGUUUAGAGUCAGGGACAGAGCUGGUCAGGGAGGGCUGCUUUAACACAAACCUCUUCACUUGCUUUCGGAAUGGUGGUGAUAUUUUGAUAACAUUCAUUUGGGAAAAUGUUUUCCUCUGCUUCCCUUUACAAAAUUGUAUUCAACUUCUGUCAAGUGCUUUUGUUUAUAUAUUAAAAUCCCACAUU